RNAcentral lists this ribosomal RNA (253 nucleotides) under uncultured prokaryote. RNAcentral's name for it is "partial 16S ribosomal RNA". It matches the Rfam family "Bacterial small subunit ribosomal RNA", at positions 525 to 777 of the family's 1533-position model. The record is from RNAcentral.
ACAGAGGGUGCGAGCGUUGUCCGGAAUCACUGGGCGUAAAGGGCGCGUAGGUGGCGGCCCCAGUCUGUGGUGAAAGCUCGCCGCUUAACGGCGAGUCGGCCACGGAUACUGGGUCGCUCGAGCACUGUAGGGGCAGAUGGAAUUCCGGGUGUAGCGGUGGAAUGCGUAGAGAUCCGGAAGAACAUCGGUGGCGAAGGCGGCCUGCUGGGCUGUUGCUGACGCUGAGGCGCGACAGCGUGGGGAGCAAACAGGA